This 450-nucleotide ribosomal RNA is filed under the name uncultured Glomeromycotina. RNAcentral's name for it is "SSU rRNA". It matches the Rfam family "Eukaryotic small subunit ribosomal RNA", at positions 569 to 1023 of the family's 1831-position model. The record is from RNAcentral. Lineage: Eukaryota; Fungi; Glomeromycota.
AGCAGCCGCGGUAAUUCCAGCUCCAAUAGCGUAUAUUAAAGUUGUUGCAGUUAAAAAGCUCGUAGUUGAAUUUCGGGGUUAGUAGGUUGGUCAUGCCUCCGGUAUGUACUGGUCUCACUGAUUCCUCCUUCCUGAUGAGCCGUAAUGCCAUUAAUUUGGUGUUGCGGGGAAUCUGGACUGUUACUUUGAAAAAAUUAGAGUGUUUAAAGCAAGCUAACGCUUGAAUACAUUAGCAUGGAAUAAUGGAAUAGGACGUUCGAUCCUAUUUUGUUGGUUUCUAGGAUUGACGUAAUGAUUAAUAGGGAUAGUUGGGGGCAUUAGUAUUCAAUUGUCAGAGGUGAAAUUCUUGGAUUUAUUGAAGACUAACUACUGCGAAAGCAUUUGCCAAGGAUGUUUUCAUUAAUCAAGAACGAAAGUUAGGGGAUCGAAGACGAUCAGAUACCGUCGUAG